This 253-nucleotide ribosomal RNA is filed under the name uncultured bacterium. RNAcentral's name for it is "partial 16S ribosomal RNA". It matches the Rfam family "Bacterial small subunit ribosomal RNA", at positions 524 to 776 of the family's 1533-position model. The record is from RNAcentral.
UACGUAGGGUGCAAGCGUUGUCCGGAUUUAUUGGGCGUAAAGAGCGUGUAGGCGGCUUUACAGGUCCGUUGUGAAAACUCGAGGCUCAACCUCGAGACGCCGGUGGAAACCGUAAGGCUAGAGUCCGGAAGAGGAGAGUGGAAUUCCUGGUGUAGCGGUGAAAUGCGCAGAUAUCAGGAAGAACACCCGUGGCGAAGGCGGCUCUCUGGGAAGGUACUGACGCUGAGACGCGAAAGCGUGGGGAGCGAACAGG